GAAAUUUUCAACAUUAAACUUCUAAUUUAAUAUAUAGUGGUAAUUAUACCAUUAAAAUUUCU
This 62-nucleotide transfer RNA is filed under the name Triaenodes qinglingensis. RNAcentral describes it as "tRNA-Ser". The record is from RNAcentral. Lineage: Eukaryota; Metazoa; Arthropoda; Insecta; Trichoptera; Leptoceridae.